RNAcentral lists this long non-coding RNA (554 nucleotides) under Daphnia pulicaria. RNAcentral describes it as "uncharacterized LOC124313641". The record is from RNAcentral. Lineage: Eukaryota; Metazoa; Arthropoda; Branchiopoda; Diplostraca; Daphniidae.
AGUUUUUAACAUGAACGAGCAGUUUCUUGCUGUCCGCCAUUAUUACCAUUGCUGCAAGUAUCCUGUGUUCGGCUUCUGUGCCAAGUGCUAACUUACGACAUUUUUUUCCAAGAGGAGGAGGAAUUGUGUUGGAAACGAAAGACGUUGGAAACAAAAUGAUUUCCAUUUUGAAUAGUUUUUAACAUGAACGAGCAGUUUCUUGCUGUCCGCCAUUAUUAUCAUUGCUGCAAGUAUCCUGUGUUCGGCUUCUGUGACAAGUGCUAACUUACGACAUUUUUUCCCAAGAGGAGGAGGAAUUGUGUUGGAAACGAAAGACGUCCCCAACGGCCGACGACGAGAUCCGGCCGGACAACCAGGAUUCCGGCCCAUUUACGGGAGUACGAUCUUCGGGGCCCCCGAUAGGUGGUCCCUUGUCACCCGCCUAACUGUACUGAUUCUUUGUGCCCUUUCCCCCCUGGUGUCAAUGUAAUGUUCUGGAGGGGGUCGGGCCCUCUCUGUCUCUAUCUAUCCAUACUACAAGUCAGUUCAAUACAAGUCAGGUUAGCAAUCUAAAA